UGGGGAAUUUUGGACAAUGGGCGAAAGCCUGAUCCAGCAAUGCCGCGUGUGUGAAGAAGGCCUUCGGGUUGUAAAGCACUUUUGUCCGGAAAGGAAAUCCUUGGCUCUAAUACAGUCGGGGGAUGACGGUACCGGAAGAAUAAGCACCGGCUAACUACGUGCCAGCAGCCGCGGUAAUACGUAGGGUGCAAGCGUUAAUCGGAAUUACUGGGCGUAAAGCGUGCGCAGGCGGUUUGCUAAGACCGAUGUGAAAUCCCCGGGCUCAACCUGGGAACUGCAUUGGUGACUGGCAGGCUAGAGUAUGGCAGAGGGGGGUAGAAUUCCACGUGUAGCAGUGAAAUGCGUAGAGAUGUGGAGGAAUACCGAUGGCGAAGGCAGCCCCCUGGGCCAAUACUGACGCUCAUGCACGAAAGCGUGGGGGAGCAAACAGGAUUAGAUACCCUGGUAGUCCACGCCCUAAAACGAUGUCAACUAGUUGUUGGGGGAUUCAUUUCCUUAGUAACGUAGCUAACGCGUGAAGUUGACCGCCU
This 530-nucleotide ribosomal RNA is filed under the name uncultured bacterium. Its description in RNAcentral is "partial 16S ribosomal RNA". It matches the Rfam family "Bacterial small subunit ribosomal RNA", at positions 355 to 874 of the family's 1533-position model. The record is from RNAcentral.